GAUGAACGCUGGCGGCGUGCCUAAUACAUGCAAGUCGAACGCUGGAGCUCUAGCUUGCUAGAUCGAAGGAGUGGCGAACGGGUGAGUAAUACAUAAGCAACCUACCCACGAAGACUGGGAUAAUCUCUGGAAACGGGGACUAAUACCGGAUAGGUAAUCGGAAGGCAUCUUCUGGUUAUUAAAGGUUAAAAACACUGGUGGAUGGGCUUAUGGCGCAUUAGUUAGUUGGUGAGGUAACGGCCCACCAAGACGAUGAUGCGUAGCCGGCCUGAGAGGGUGAACGGCCACAGGGGGACUGAGACACGGCCCAGACUCCUACGGGAGGCAGCAGUAGGGAAGGUUCGGCAAUGGAGGCAACCCUGACCGAGCAACGCCGCGUGAGGGAAGACGGCCUUCGGGUUGUAAAGCUCUGUUGUAAGGGAAGAACGGUAGAUAGAGAAUAUCUAAGUGACGGUACCUUACCAGAAAGCCACGGCUAACUACGUG
Molecule: ribosomal RNA, 486 nt
Filed under: uncultured bacterium
Lineage: Bacteria
Description: partial 16S ribosomal RNA
Rfam family: Bacterial small subunit ribosomal RNA
Source: RNAcentral